UGGAUUAGUGGCGAACGGGUGAGUAACACGUGGGCAAUCUGCCCUUCACUCUGGGACAAGCCCUGGAAACGGGGUCUAAUACCGGAUAACACUCCUGCCCGCAUGGGUGGGGGUUAAAAGCUCCGGCGGUGAAGGAUGAGCCCGCGGCCUAUCAGCUUGUUGGUGAGGUAGUGGCUCACCAAGGCGACGACGGGUAGCCGGCCUGAGAGGGCGACCGGCCACACUGGGACUGAGACACGGCCCAGACUCCUACGGGAGGCAGCAGUGGGGAAUAUUGCACAAUGGGCGAAAGCCUGAUGCAGCGACGCCGCGUGAGGGAUGACGGCCUUCGGGUUGUAAACCUCUUUCAGCAGGGAAGAAGCGAAAGUGACGGUACCUGCAGAAGAAGCGCCGGCUAACUACGUGCCAGCAGCCGCGGUAAUACGUAGGGCGCAAGCGUUGUCCGGAAUUAUUGGGCGUAAAGAGCUCGUAGGCGGCUUGUCACGUCGGGUGUGAAAGCCCGGGGCUUAACCCCGGGUCUGCAUUCGAUACGGGCUAGCUAGAGUGUGGUAGGGGAGAUCGGAAUUCCUGGUGUAGCGGUGAAAUGCGCAGAUAUCAGGAGGAACACCGGUGGCGAAGGCGGAUCUCUGGGCCAUUACUGACGCUGAGGAGCGAAAGCGUGGGGGAGCGAACA
RNAcentral lists this ribosomal RNA (673 nucleotides) under Streptomyces bobili. RNAcentral's name for it is "bacterial SSU rRNA". It matches the Rfam family "Bacterial small subunit ribosomal RNA", at positions 88 to 774 of the family's 1533-position model. Lineage: Bacteria; Bacillati; Actinomycetota; Actinomycetes; Kitasatosporales; Streptomycetaceae. The record is from RNAcentral.